Molecule: non-coding RNA, 478 nt
Organism: Acomys russatus (golden spiny mouse)
Lineage: Eukaryota; Metazoa; Chordata; Mammalia; Rodentia; Muridae
Source: the annotation of a RefSeq genome assembly
AUGGGAAAUCCUUUUGGACCCAGAGAAGUGUCCAAGCUCUGGGGACGUAGCCGAGUGGUGGGAAUGCUCCUCCAAGUACUUGUUUGGCUUCUGAAGCUUCAGGCUGCCUGGGUCAAUGCCCAAAAGUUGCAACAGAGUCCUCUGUCUCUGAUCAUCCAAGAAGGAGAUGAAAUCGCCAUGAGCUGCAAUUCAUCGGCAUCUUUAUAUGCCUUAUACUGGUACAGGCAGGGGAACGAUGGAGAUCUCAUCCUCUUGGUGAUGUUACAGAAAGGAGGAGAUGAGAAAAGUAAUGACAAAAUUACUGCCAAGCUGGAUAAGAAAAUGCGACAAAGUUUCCUGCAUAUCCAAGCCUCCCAGCCCAGUCACUCAGGCACUUACCUCUGUGGAGGAAAGCACAGUGGUGUACACACUGCCACAGGCUGUCUCCAAACCCACAGCUGGGCUACAGCUGCUCUGACACAGGGCUCCGGACAUAGAA